UGAGGAAUAUUGGUCAAUGGGCGAGAGCCUGAACCAGCCAAGUAGCGUGCAGGAUGACGGCCCUAUGGGUUGUAAACUGCUUUUGUAUGGGGAUAAAGUCAAUCACGUGUGAUUGUUUGCAGGUACCAUACGAAUAAGGACCGGCUAAUUCCGUGCCAGCAGCCGCGGUAAUACGGAAGGUCCGGGCGUUAUCCGGAUUUAUUGGGUUUAAAGGGAGCGUAGGCUGGAGAUUAAGUGUGUUGUGAAAUGUAGACGCUCAACGUCUGACUUGCAGCGCAUACUGGUUUCCUUGAGUACGCACAACGUUGGCGGAAUUCGUCGUGUAGCGGUGAAAUGCUUAGAUAUGACGAAGAACUCCGAUUGCGAAGGCAGCUGACGGGAGCGCAACUGACGCUGAAGCUCGAAGGUGCGGGUAUCGAACAGGAUUAGAUACCCUGGUAGUCCGCACAGUAAACGAUGGAUGCCCGCUGUUGGUACCUGGUAUCAGCGGCUAAGCGAAAGCAUUAAGCAUCCCACCUGGGGAGUACGCCGGCNACGGU
RNAcentral lists this ribosomal RNA (539 nucleotides) under uncultured bacterium. RNAcentral describes it as "bacterial SSU rRNA". It matches the Rfam family "Bacterial small subunit ribosomal RNA", at positions 355 to 895 of the family's 1533-position model. The record is from RNAcentral.